GACGAACGCUGGCGGCGUGCUUAACACAUGCAAGUCGAACGGAAAGGCCCUGCUUUUGUGGGGUGCUCGAGUGGCGAACGGGUGAGUAACACGUGAGUAACCUGCCCUUGACUUUGUGAUAACUUCAGGAAACUGGGGCUAAUACCGGAUAGGAGCUCCUGCUGCAUGGUGGGGGUUGGAAUGUUUCGGCGGUUGGGGAUGGACUCGCGGCUUAUCAGCUUGUUGGUGGGGUAGUGGCUUACCAAGGCUUUGACGGGUAGCCGACCUGAGAGGGUGACCGGCCAGAAUGGGACUGAGAUACGGCACAGACUCCAACGGGAGGCAGGAGAGGGGAAUAGUGCAGAAUGGGAGGAAGCAUGAUGCAGAAAAGCGGCGUGCGGGAUGACGGCCUUCGGGUUGUAAAGCGAUUUCGAAUGAGAAGAAGAGAGAGUGACGGUAAUGGGUAAAGAAGCACCGGCUAACUACGUG
Molecule: ribosomal RNA, 468 nt
Filed under: uncultured bacterium
Lineage: Bacteria
Description: partial 16S ribosomal RNA
Rfam family: Bacterial small subunit ribosomal RNA
Source: RNAcentral